Molecule: ribosomal RNA, 858 nt
Filed under: uncultured bacterium
Lineage: Bacteria
Description: bacterial SSU rRNA
Rfam family: Bacterial small subunit ribosomal RNA
Source: RNAcentral
ACACAUGCAGUCGAGGGGUAUAGUUCUUCGGAGCUAGAGACCGGCGCACGGGUGCGUAACGCGUAUGCAAUCUACCUUUCACAAAGGGAUAGCCCAGAGAAAUUUGGAUUAAUACCUUAUAGUAUAACGACUUCGCAUGGAGUUGUUAUUAAAGAUUUAUCGGUGAAAGAUGAGCAUGCGUCCCAUUAGCUAGUUGGUAAGGUAACGGCUUACCAAGGCUACGAUGGGUAGGGGUCCUGAGAGGGAGAUCCCCCACACUGGUACUGAGACACGGACCAGACUCCUACGGGAGGCAGCAGUGAGGAAUAUUGGUCAAUGGGCGCAAGCCUGAACCAGCCAUGCCGCGUGCGGGAUGACGGUCCUAUGGAUUGUAAACUGCUUUUGUACAGGAAGAAACACUCCCUCGUGAGGGAGCUUGACGGUACUGUAAGAAUAAGGAUCGGCUAACUCCGUGCCAGCAGCCGCGGUAAUACGGAGGAUCCAAGCGUUAUCCGGAAUCAUUGGGUUUAAAGGGUCCGUAGGCGGCUUAAUAAGUCAGUGGUGAAAGCCCUACGCUUAACGUAGGAACGGCCAUUGAUACUGUUAGGCUUGAAUUAUUAGGAAGUAACUAGAAUAUGUAGUGUAGCGGUGAAAUGCUUAGAGAUUACAUGGAAUACCAAUUGCGAAGGCAGGUUACUACUAAUGGAUUGACGCUGAUGGACGAAAGCGUGGGUAGCGAACAGGAUUAGAUACCCUGGUAGUCCACGCCGUAAACGAUGGAUACUAGCUGUUGGAAGCAAUUUCAGUGGCUAAGCGAAAGUGAUAAGUAUCCCACCUGGGGAGUACGAACGCAAGUUUGAAACUCAAAGGAAUUGACGG